AUAAACUGUUAAUUUACAGCACUACUAAUAAUUAGUAAACAUUUAAUUAUAAUUUCAUUGUUUGUUAACAGUAAAAAGACAGUUUGCUAACAGUUAAAUGACAAUCAACUAAAGAUUAAUUAACUAUCAAUUUACCAUCUAUUAAUGAUGGUUAUUAUAAAGUGUUACAAUCUUUUCUUUCUCCCUCAAGGUGCUUUGCUUAAAUUUCUCAGCCCUCAGGCUCUUCCUAAGGAUACCUCCACUGAUGAAGCUACACCAUCAACUUCAUCCUCAACAUCAACAGAUGCAUCACUUCACAGUGCUGAUGUUUCCUCUAUAGCACAAGGUACCACCACCACAAGCUCUAUAAUUAUAGCUGAUAUCCUGCACAGCCCAGAGUUUAAACUGAUAAGUGUGUGCUGUCAUAUUGUUAG
Long non-coding RNA from Sander lucioperca (pikeperch), 413 nucleotides. RefSeq lists it as uncharacterized. The record is from RefSeq and is a predicted model, not a curated record. The transcript is spliced from 2 exons. NCBI's taxonomy places the organism in Eukaryota, Metazoa, Chordata, Actinopteri, Perciformes, Percidae.